Molecule: ribosomal RNA, 440 nt
Filed under: Drosophila hydei
Lineage: Eukaryota; Metazoa; Arthropoda; Insecta; Diptera; Drosophilidae
Description: partial 12S ribosomal RNA
Source: RNAcentral
UAUUAUUUAAAUGUAAAUAUAAAUACUUAAGUAGUAGUAGUUAUGUUCUUGAAACUUAAAAAAUUUGGCGGUAUUUUAGUCUAUCCAGAGGAACCUGUUUUGUAAUCGAUAAUCCACGAUGGACCUUACUUAAAUUUGUAAUCAGUUUAUAUACCGUCGUUAUCAGAAUAUUUUAUAAGAAUAAUAAUAUUCAAUAAUUUUUAUUAAAAUUUAUAUCAGAUCAAGGUGUAGCUUAUAUUUAUGUAAUAAUGGGUUACAAUAAAUUAAUUUAAACGGAUAAAAUUAUGAAAAGAUUUUUGAAGGUGGAUUUGGUUGUAAAAUUAUAAAGAUUAAUAAUUUGAUUUUAGCUCUAAAAUAUGUACACAUCGCCCGUCGCUCUUAUUAUUAAGGUAAGAUAAGUCGUAACAUAGUAGAUGUACUGGAAAGUGUAUCUAGAAUGA